RNAcentral lists this ribosomal RNA (402 nucleotides) under uncultured cyanobacterium. RNAcentral's name for it is "bacterial SSU rRNA". It matches the Rfam family "Bacterial small subunit ribosomal RNA", at positions 380 to 797 of the family's 1533-position model. The record is from RNAcentral. Lineage: Bacteria; Bacillati; Cyanobacteriota.
CAUGCAAGGAAGCACACGCCGCGUGAGGGAGGAGGUCUUUGGAUUGUAAACCUCUUUUCUCAAGGAAGAAGUUCUGACGGUACUUGAGGAAUCAGCCUCGGCUAACUCCGUGCCAGCAGCCGCGGUAAUACGGGGGAGGCAAGCGUUAUCCGGAAUUAUUGGGCGUAAAGCGUCCGCAGGUGGUCAGCCAAGUCUGCCGUCAAAUCAGGUUGCUUAACGACCUAAAGGCGGUGGAAACUGGCAGACUAGAGAGCAGUAGGGGUAGCAGGAAUUCCCAGUGUAGCGGUGAAAUGCGUAGAGAUUGGGAAGAACAUCGGUGGCGAAAGCGUGCUACUGGGCUGUAUCUGACACUCAGGGACGAAAGCUAGGGGAGCGAAUGGGAUUAGAUACCCCUGUAGUCAA